CCUUGGUCUUGCAAGAGGGGCUUUACCCCCUGGGUGGGCUGUCACCUGGGGUAGAAAUGGCGUUUCCUAGGCGUGUGUUGGGUGAGGUCCGGGGGCCCAGCACUGUUCCAGGACUCAUGUUGGCCUUUGUCCCCUCAGUGAAACAUGCCUGAGACAAGUGGACAACAGGUUGGUGGAGAAUUUUGGGGUCCAGGAAGAUCGCAUGGACCUGCACCCGGUAUAUGUGGAGUCCCAGCUAAUGGACGCUGACCUGGAGGUCUCCAUGGUGCCACCACUAGAGGAUCAGCGCCUUGUGGCCAUCUCCAUGGAGGCUUGUCCAGAGGAGCCGCCACCACCCCCACCCCUACCACCUGAGUAGGGCUGAGGGCAGCUGGGGGAGAG
This 381-nucleotide small RNA is filed under the name Pongo abelii (Sumatran orangutan). RNAcentral's name for it is "retained intron". The record is from RNAcentral. Lineage: Eukaryota; Metazoa; Chordata; Mammalia; Primates; Hominidae.